CCGGGUCAGGCCGGUGGCCCGGCGGUGCGCGCGGUGGUCGGCGAGCCGCUCGGCGCGGAGGGAGUGGCCGCCCCCGGGCCCCCGCACCCCGCGCCCUCGGCCCCCCGGGCCCGCCCCUCGGCCGCGUCGCGUCAUGCCCGACGCCGCUCGGCGCUAGUGUCCGGGCCGCCGCCGCCCGCCCGCAGCCGCGCCCACUGUGCAGAGCCAGAGGGAUGGUGGCAGUCACGGGGCGGGAGCCAGACAGCCGUCGCGCGGACGGUGCCAUGUCCAGCUCCGACGCCGAGGACGACUUCGUGGAGCCGGCCACCCCGACGGCCACGCAGGCGGGGCACGCGCUGCCCCUGCUGCCCCAGGAGUUUCCUGAGGUUGUCCCCCUUAACAUUGGAGGGGCUCACUUCACCACACGCCUGUCUACCCUGCGGCGCUAUGAGGACACCAUGCUGGCGGCCAUGUUCAGCGGGCGGCAUUACAUCCCCACCGACGCCGAGGGCCGGUACUUCAUUGACCGGGAUGGCACGCACUUUGGAGAUGUGCUGAAUUUUCUGCGCUCGGGCGACCUGCCGCCCCGGGAACGUGUACGGGCUGUGUACAAAGAGGCCCAGUACUAUGCCAUCGGUCCCCUCCUGGAGCAGCUAGAGAACAUGCAGCCUCUGAAGGGGGAGAAAGUGCGCCAGGCGUUUCUGGGACUCAUGCCCUAUUACAAAGACCAUUUGGAGCGGAUCGUGGAGAUUGCCCGGCUGCGUGCGGUACAGCGGAAGGCCCGCUUUGCCAAGCUCAAGGUCUGUGUCUUCAAGGAGGAGAUGCCCAUCACCCCCUACGAGUGUCCGCUUCUCAACUCCCUGCGCUUCGAGCGGAGCGAGAGCGAUGGGCAGCUCUUUGAGCACCAUUGCGAGGUGGAUGUGUCUUUUGGGCCCUGGGAGGCUGUGGCUGAUGUUUAUGACCUACUGCACUGCCUGGUCACGGACCUCUCAGCCCAGGGCCUCGUCGUGGACCAUCAGUGCAUCGGGGUGUGUGACAAGCACCUCAUCAACCACUACUACUGCAAGCGUCCCAUCUAUGAGUUCAAGAUCACGUGGUGGAGUGUGCCCGCCCAGUCUAGGCACAGAGCUCUCCCCUCUCGUGUUGAGAGGUCUCCAGGGGAAGAAGAUACCACAGGUGCGCAGUCACUGUGUAGCUCCCAACCACGUCAGGUGGUUCCGAAAGGAAUCCCUUCUGUCAUUCACCACUUCUUUCAAGGGAGAGAGAAAUGGCUCUAAGCUUAUGUGGGCCUCAGUGGUUAAGACCGGUCCUUGAGGAAAAUGGACUUGAGUUGUCCUUCCUCUGGAAGCAGAGUUGGACACCUUCCUGGCUAAUGAGUGUCCUCAUCAAGAUGUCCCUUGGAGUCACUCCAUGAAUUAACCCGGAAAGAUGAAUAUCUACUUCUGAAGUCUAAAGGCAAGGAGAAACUGACAGUAUUACAAAAGCCAUAGAUCUGGGUUAUCUCUUACAUCCGAUGGCAGAGCUCUUCCCUCCCCCUCCAGACUGCCACCGUCCCCCAUAUACACACAGUAACAGUAAGUUCAGACUUAGGAACAAGGCAGUCCCAGUCCCGACUGCUGAGGACUUCUUCCUUCACACGCUUGUUCUUCCCGAGCAGUGACAUGAUCUAAAUAUCCUGGGAUUCCACCACCUCCAGCCACCUGGAAUUCAGUGGAAACGGGACUGUCGUGCACCAGGAAGAAGUCCGACUCAACUGCAGGGAAGACUUUGAACCGUCUUGAACCAUCCAGAAGUACUUCAUAGAAGGGACCCGUAAUUAGAUUGUGAUGUACCUUUUCUGCCCUUCUGUGAUUUCAGUGGCAACCUGAAUCACCCUUCCACAAACCAUGACUUUUAGAAGUUUCUCCUAAUGUAUUACAGACCCUGGGUUUUUUCCUGUGUCAUGUGAUCGUGGCAGGUGGCCUAGCUCCAGUAGAUCUUUUGAAUAGAUGGAUACAUACUUCUCCUUUAUUAAGGAAAAAUUAAGAAACAGAAACCCAAAGCACCACGAAACUUAAGAGCUUGAUCUCUAUUAAAAGAAAUUAAUCAGUUAAGAGUUGAAUUGAAAUCCUUAUACCUCUAUUAUGUUUGUAGGUGGGUUGGAUGGUAUCAUCAGGCUUAAGUCCUAAGAACGUGUAUCACCUUCUGUAAAUGCCAUUAGUGUGUUUAUUAGUGUGAGUUCCAGCAUUACAUCCUUGCCUUCAGCUCUGCCUCAGCUUGCACUGUCCUGAGGACCCAUCUGUCCAUGCACCCAUCUGUCGUGGGUGCCUACUGUCCCCACUCUUCCUGCGUCAUCACCACCCCCCACCCCCACUGCUUACGACUGCCCUGUCUUUGGCAUUUUAAAGCUGGUUUGCCACUUCUGGCCGUACCUCAUCCAGCAUUUGGUAGCCAGCCCUGGCGGUGAUGUUCCGUCCAGCAGUGUCUGCCGCUGCUUCUCAGGCAGGUAGGUGCUCUUUGCACCAAGGUCCCAGACUUUCCGUUUCAGCUUUCUCACCUGGCCUGCUAGGAUUUGAAGAGCAUUUUCAGCCCUUCUCUCUAAGUUCCGUGUCUACCGUGACUGCUUCCGCAAUGGCAGCAGAUUCUGGCAAGGCCCCACCAGACAGGUAAGUUAGCUUCACCCUCCUCUACCCUUGGAAGGGAUAAUCACCAUACUUUUCCCAGAAACUGCAUUCACCAAGAGCUUCCUAACAAAAAUAGGGACUUUCCUGGUCAGCUGACCACAUCACUGUUGGCCGAAAUGAGGAUGGUGUUAUUCACUUGGCACUCCCAGAAAGUCAAGGCAGCAUGUAUCUGCCUCCAGACAUAUUCAGGAAAUGUUCUACCCAACUGCCUGAUUGUAUACUUCCAAAUACAGCUCUGUCUGGAAAUUCGCGCUGGUUCAGAGAGGUAGGAUGUUGAGGAGUACUGUUUAUAGUCACCUACUGGAAUGUUCCACCACUUACACUGGCUGGGCGUUUAGACCGGAGGAUUCCGCAGACAUGGGGUUUACUGCCUGGUUUCGAACCCUGCCAGUGCUGUGUUCUGCUGGGAUGACAAUCCUGACCCCUUGAUGGUAGCAGCAGCCCUGGGAUAACCUGCAGUUGUGGAUUGAGAUCCAGAAGUGGGAUUUCCAGAAAGUUCAACCAAGGUAUCCUCAUGAUAAUGUAUAAGAAAGUGAUGUUUCGGGGGCGGGGGG
Molecule: RNA transcript, 3196 nt
Organism: Mustela erminea (ermine)
Lineage: Eukaryota; Metazoa; Chordata; Mammalia; Carnivora; Mustelidae
Gene: KCTD7
Gene name: potassium channel tetramerization domain containing 7
Exons: 6
Source: RefSeq, a predicted model, not a curated record